UGUAAAACGUGGCAGGCAACUGUUUCAGUGUGUAUGUGUGGGUUAGUGUGCAAGUGCCCAAGCUGUGAUAACUUUGUAGUGCAGGAUGCUAAUCUGCGCUUCAGAGAGGGACGCAGGAAUUUAAGGUGAACUGUCUGUGGUGUAUCUAAUCGAGGGCGAAGCUCCCGCACGCUGCUCUGUGUUAGCGUGAGCAUGCGAGUCGUUAAUCACCUGGACACCUGGAGAGCUCGGCUUCGACUUCAAGCGUCAAAGGGGAGCAAGGAAUUCACACCAGAAGCGAAUACACAGCACAGAAACACUGGGAGGUGUCAGUUCAUGGAUCUGCAUGCAGUUCUUCUGAUGGGUGUUGGGGAAGUGUUCUCAACACCAUCCAUCCAGUGAUUCUGAGGGACGAACUGGAGGGGAUGGGCAGGGACCACCAGCUGUCUGAAUGGAUCCUGGACUACCUCAUGAACCGACCUCAGUUUGUGAGAGCCAGGAACUGUGUGUCUGACCUGCUCACCAGCAACACGGGUGCCCCCCAGGGAACUGUCCUGGCCCCCUUUCUUUUUACCCUGUAGACAGCAGACUUCAGACACAACACCAAUGGAGGUGAAGACGUGGAGUACGGAGAUCUGACUCAGAACUUUGUUCACUGGUGUAAUUGAAACCACCUACUGAUCAACGCGGGGAAAACCAAGGAGAUGGUGGUAGAUUUUCACAGACUCCAGACCCACACCACCACCACCACCCCACCAUGGACAUCCAGGGAAUAGACACUGAGCAUGUGGACUCUGAUAAGCACCUUUGUGUUCACCUUAACAACAAGAUAGACUGGACUCAUCACACCUUUUGGAGCGAUAUGUGCAAUAUUAUUACUCCUCAAGGUUGAACACUCACCAUUCACUACUUACUGUCUACUGUCUACGACUCUGUGUAAUAUCUGACAAUCAUUAUCUGUACAGUUCAAUGCUGCCAUUACUUAGAUAUUGUUUAUUCUGUUUUGUCUUAUUAUUUAUCCUUUAUACAGUCCACUCUUUAGUCUCUACGUAUGUCUUUUAUUUCUAUACUAUCUAUUACUUAGCUCCACUAUGGAAAACAGAAAAAUAAGCCAUUCUUUUGUGAGCCAUUCAUUUUCUAUGAACUGGUAUGAUCAGCAGCUCCUCUGAAUGUUUUACAUAAUUGCAAAAUCCCAUUUCUGCUGUGUUUAAUAUUUGCCACGUUUUGUUAUAUUGGCACGUCGCUCGAACACAGUGAAAAGCACAAAAAGCAGAAAUUGUCAGACUUGUUUUAAAUGGAUAAUGAAAUGGGUACAAAGGAAGCGUUUCCUUCUGUUCAGGGGCUCCCAGGUCCACAUUCCAAUGUAAAGUCUCAAUCGUUUUGUCGUGACAUAAAACCAGCCACUGAAGCAGCAAAAUGGUCAGAGGUAGGGACUGCAGAUAACAGGGUAAAACAGUGUUUCAAGUUACCUUAAAUAACCCAGGGAUGUGACUAUGAACGCACUGAUCCAGAAAUAAAUUGUUCCUUGCAUGCAA
Mugil cephalus (flathead mullet) is the source of this 1514-nucleotide long non-coding RNA. RefSeq lists it as uncharacterized. The transcript has 2 exons. The record is from RefSeq and is a predicted model, not a curated record. NCBI's taxonomy places the organism in Eukaryota, Metazoa, Chordata, Actinopteri, Mugiliformes, Mugilidae.